UGUGACUUUUUGUUAGAAUAAUACACUUAUUGGCAUUUGAUGCAAGUUUCCUAAAAUUUAUGUUGGUUGCAACUUGGGUUCUUAUUGUUGUUAAUUGUUCUGCUGAUAGGUAGCACUUUGAUUUUCUUGGAAGGAUUGCAAAAAUAUGUAUUUAACUUAAUGGAAUUCCCCGUGGGAUGUAAUGAUAGUGUUGGGCAGUUAGGGAAACAGCACUUUUGAAAUUUAAAAGGGGUAUGAACUAAAAUUUAAAGAAUUUUUUCUUUUAAAAAUUCUGUCAUACUCUACAUUGUUAUACUUAUCCCUUUUUCAUCGCAGGUGAAUUUUAGUUCUUUUAAACUUAAUCAUGUCACUUUAAUUUUCAAGUUUUGUUUUCCCUUUUAUCUGUUCUGUUAUUCGUAAGGGGGAGUGAAACUGAGGAAUUCUGUCGGUUUGAUCUACUUUUGGUUUUUUGGGUUGCUAUGGUUGAAUGGUUGGCCUUUGGUUCAACACCCUUAAAAAGGGGUUUUUAGCAAAUUUUUAAUUGUGUAGUUUUGGUAUUUGAUGUCCUCCACCGUAAGAAUUCUCAGUUUAUGCUCUAUUUGUAUUAACAUGAGACCUUUAUUAUUAUUAUUAUUUUAUUUUUUUUGGGAUUUAAUUAAAGUUUCUAGGUUAUCUCAAGCUUUGGUUUCAUGUUUAGUCUCUAUUUAUUUUGUAUUUUAGUUUGACCGAAUCUUCUUUAAUAGUAGCAUCUUGAUUUUUGAGGGGUUUUAUUUGAUUCUUUGUUUGGUUGCAGACCCCAGCUUCUUUUCCAAUUUCCUCCUUUAGUAACCCACGGAUUAUUUUCUGCUUUUUGUUAUGCACAGCGAAAGACCAAAUCUAUAUAGUUUAGAAGCUGUCUGCAAAUCCCAGCAAUAUCAAAGUGAAAAGGUAGAGCUAUUUAAGAUAGAAAUUAUGAGAAAAUUUUACUAAUGAUAGAAGAUUUUCUGUUGUGAUUAUUUAAUGCAAAUUGUUGGUAUGGGUUGCAGGGAAAAGAAAGCUAUGAGUAAUGGACAUAGACAUGAGUUAUUAAAACACUAAACAAUUGUAUCUUUUUGGUGGUUUGCUAUUGUACUUGCUACAUGCAAUGAGAAUUACUAUAGUUCACAAUCGAAUGAGUUUUACCAUAGUUAACAAAUGAGUUUCUUUUGGAACAUCUGACUCCUCCUGCCAACAGUUUGAAGCCAUGUCAUAUCAUGUACAACAAUGAAGAUGACAAUGGGAGAGAUAUUUUCCAAAGAUUAUAUUGAAAUUUUAUUGUUUAAUAGAUUGUGCUGAUUUUUUUUUCGACCCAAUUCUUUUUAUGUAAAUAAUUAUAUUAGAGGGUACUUGUGUCUGUUUUGUAUUCUAUAUUUGAUUGAAUUGUAGUUUAGAUGAAUCUUUGGGUUUGGAACA
Long non-coding RNA from Quercus robur (English oak), 1410 nucleotides. RefSeq lists it as uncharacterized. Lineage: Eukaryota; Viridiplantae; Streptophyta; Magnoliopsida; Fagales; Fagaceae. The record is from RefSeq and is a predicted model, not a curated record. The transcript is spliced from 2 exons.